This is a non-coding RNA of Phascolarctos cinereus (koala), 534 nucleotides long. Lineage: Eukaryota; Metazoa; Chordata; Mammalia; Diprotodontia; Phascolarctidae. The record is from the annotation of a RefSeq genome assembly.
GCUCAGAGCUCUCUGCCUCCAGCUCUGUCAGGGUCACAAUGCUCUCCCAGUCCUUGCUCCUCUGGCUGCUACUGCUCUGGCCUCAAGAAUCCCAGGCAGCCAUUGAGUGACCCAGUCCCCAGCCUCCCUGUCUGUGGCUGCAGGAGACCAAGUCACCAUCAGCUGCAAGCCAGUUCCAGCGUUAGCAAGAGGAUGGCCUGGUACCAGCAGAAACCAGGACAGUCUCCCAGGCUCCUGAUCUAUUAUGCUUCCACCCUGUACUCUGGGGUCCCUGACCGGUUCAGUGGCAGUGGCUCUGGGACAGAUUUCACCCUCACCAUCAGUGCAGUGGAGGCUGAGGAUGUGGCAGAUUAUUACUGUUUUCAGGCUUAUAAUGCUCCAUUCCCACAGUGUUUCAGCCCUGAACAAAAACCUCCAGGCUGCUCAGCCCUUCAGCAGAGGGAGCAGCUGCUUCCCCAGAGUCACAGGCUUGAGAAAACCAUCCCCUCAGGGAGAACUGGGCCCAAUUCAGUCCUGCUGCAGGAGCCAUUGUGA